RNAcentral lists this long non-coding RNA (728 nucleotides) under Sinocyclocheilus grahami. RNAcentral's name for it is "lncRNA (ENSSGRG00000010722.1)". Lineage: Eukaryota; Metazoa; Chordata; Actinopteri; Cypriniformes; Cyprinidae. The record is from RNAcentral.
AGUCAAUAUACAUCGGAUGGGAACCCAUCAUAUUAAUUUGAGAAUCAGUUUCCAGCACUCUUCACACAGAACCACAGGAUGUCUACAGCAAACUCUUCAGAGCUGGAUCUGGAGCUGGGAGACUUGCUACAGGAGUUUAAUGAUGUUGUGAAGGAGCUGAGCACACCUCACGCCUCUGAACAUGUGCUGGGAGAUGUGAAGAGACACACAGCACUGACUGAUGGAGACGACUCAGACUACUGCAGCGAAGCUUCGCUGGUAAACAGCUUGAAUGCCAGUCAAGAGGAGCUCAACAUCCCAAGCAUGACUACAGCCCCAAAAGCCAGGCUCGGGGACACCGGCGACCUACAGAGCUUCAUUGAAAACCUGGAUAGAGAGCUUGCAGAGAUGUGAGAUGACAGGACACACGUGAUCAGACAGACCGCUGAGCACCUGAAGAGCUGGCAUUUAGCAAAGCGCAAUCUCUGCUUCCACAUAGAAAUUAGGCUGAAGAAAAGCAGCUUGAAGGCUUCAUUUUUUCCCCCUUCACUAAGGAACGAGAGCUCACGGUGACUUUUAAUUGGUCAAGACUGUUUGGAAGAAUUACCAAGUUUCUCAGAAGAUGUUUUAUUUUAAGAAAUACUUACUAAAUUUAUAUGAAAAGCACAAUGCCUUGUAAGUUAUGACGAGUAAUGUUAAUACCUAUUUUUCACUUUUUUUUAAAUGAAGAUUGUAAAAAUAUCAGUGUU